UUCUAGCCCAGAUAGGAGCGACAUCCUCUAGUGGUCUCGUUUUUUUUAAACGAGACCACUAGAGAUAUAGCGCAUAGCUGGAAUUAGC
This 88-nucleotide small RNA is filed under the name Flavobacterium sp. 9R. Its description in RNAcentral is "Flavo-1". It matches the Rfam family "Flavo-1 RNA". The record is from RNAcentral. Lineage: Bacteria; Pseudomonadati; Bacteroidota; Flavobacteriia; Flavobacteriales; Flavobacteriaceae.